Schistosoma mansoni is the source of this 46-nucleotide non-coding RNA. NCBI's taxonomy places the organism in Eukaryota, Metazoa, Platyhelminthes, Trematoda, Strigeidida, Schistosomatidae. The record is from Rfam.
GCACUGCUGAGGAGUCCCACAAUGGGACGAAACGGCCGACCAGUGC